This 427-nucleotide ribosomal RNA is filed under the name uncultured bacterium. Its description in RNAcentral is "partial 16S ribosomal RNA". It matches the Rfam family "Bacterial small subunit ribosomal RNA", at positions 355 to 774 of the family's 1533-position model. The record is from RNAcentral.
UGGGGAAUAUUGCACAAUGGGCGCAAGCCUGAUGCAGCCAUGCCGCGUGUAUGAAGAAGGCCUUCGGGUUGUAAAGUACUUUCAGCGGGGAGGAAGGGAGUAAAGUUAAUACCUUUGCUCAUUGACGUUACCCGCAGAAGAAGCACCGGCUAUCUCCGUGCCAGCAGCCGCGGUAAUACGGAGGGUGCAAGCGUUAAUCGGAAUUACUGGGCGUAAAGCGCACGCAGGCGGUUUGUUAAGUCAGAUGUGAAAUCCCCGGGCUCAACCUGGGAACUGCAUCUGAUACUGGCAAGCUUGAGUCUCGUAGAGGGGGGUAGAAUUCCAGGUGUAGCGGUGAAAUGCGUAGAGAUCUGGAGGAAUACCGGUGGCGAAGGCGGCCCCCUGGACGAAGACUGACGCUCAGGUGCGAAAGCGUGGGGAGCAAACA